UUGACGGGGCCGCACAAGCGGUGGAGCAUGUGGUUUAAUUCGACGCAACGCGAAGAACCUUACCAGGGCUUGACAUCCCCUGACCGCGUAUGAAAGUACGUUUUCACCCUCGGGUGACAGGGAGACAGGUGGUGCAUGGUUGUCGUCAGCUCGUGUCGUGAGAUGUUGGGUUAAGUCCCGCAACGAGCGCAACCCCUACGUUUAGUUGCUAACGCGUGAAGGCGAGCACUCUAGACGAACUGCCGUUGACAAAACGGAGGAAGGUGGGGAUGACGUCAAAUCAUCAUGCCCCUUAUGUUCUGGGCUACACACGUGCUACAAUGGCCGGUACAGACGGACGCAAAGCCGCGAGGUGGAGCAAAUCCUAAAAAGCCGGUCUCAGUUCGGAUUGCAGGCUGCAAUUCGCCUGCAUGAAGUCGGAAUCGCUAGUAAUCGCAGGUCAGCAUACUGCGGUGAAUACGUUCCCGGGCCUU
This 473-nucleotide ribosomal RNA is filed under the name uncultured Pelotomaculum sp. Its description in RNAcentral is "bacterial SSU rRNA". It matches the Rfam family "Bacterial small subunit ribosomal RNA", at positions 910 to 1382 of the family's 1533-position model. Lineage: Bacteria; Bacillati; Bacillota; Clostridia; Eubacteriales; Desulfotomaculaceae. The record is from RNAcentral.